This 442-nucleotide ribosomal RNA is filed under the name uncultured bacterium. Its description in RNAcentral is "partial 16S ribosomal RNA". It matches the Rfam family "Bacterial small subunit ribosomal RNA", at positions 339 to 795 of the family's 1533-position model. The record is from RNAcentral.
CUACGGGGGGCUGCAGACGAGAAUCUUCCGCAAUGGGCGCAAGCCUGACGGAGCAAUGCCGCGUGAGGGAUGACGGCCCUAGGGUUGUAAACCUCUGUCAGAAGGGACGAAGAACGUGACGGUACCUUCAGAGGAAGCCAUGGCUAACUACGUGCCAGCAGCCGCGGUAAUACGUAGAUGGCGAGCGUUAUUCGGAUUUACUGGGCGUAAAGGGUCCGUAGGGGGUCUGCCAAGUCUGAUGUGAAAUCCUGCGGCUCAACCGCGGAACUGCAUUGGAAACUGGCGGACUAGAGUGUGCGAGGGGUGAGCGGAAUUCCUGGUGUAGCGGUGGAAUGCGUAGAUAUCAGGAAGAACACCGAUGGCGAAGGCGGCUCACUGGCGCAUCACUGACCCUGAGGGACGAAAGCGUGGGUAGCAAACAGGAUUAGAUACCCCCGUAGUC